CCCUGAGUGCGAUUGGAGCCGGCCAAAACUACGUUGAGGCGACGCUCAAACGCGUCCGUAUGUCGAUUAGGGUCAAGCACCUCUGCUAGCGGUGUCCACGGGGCGAAAACAGAUCGCCAUCUUCCAUGAAUCAAUUGAGCUCGACGUUUGGACUGACUCUUCUUGGGUCACAUACUCGCUCAAGCAUCGCCGCCGCUCCCGCUCCUUCAUGGAUGCGUUGGUCGGCCAUCUAACUCCUGGAUUCUGCCAUUGAUCUGGACUCCUGGGCCACCAUCAGCACCUGCCUCCGCCAAGGCCAUGCCUGCACCAAGAACAGUGCGUUCAUGGGAGUCUGCGGUGAAUUCUGCUUAUUCCCAUUAAGUAGCUGCCAAGAUUGCUACAUUUAACGGAGGAAUUCACUGCCUAGAUUGAGUUUGCCACACUUCCUUUCAGAUUAUGCACUUGAAGAAGGUCCCCUUUCCAGCCUCAGAUUGAUGUGAUUGUUUUCAUUGAAAAGAUAAACACGAUCCUGCUCCUUCUGCAUCGGCGUCCUUGGAUGUGGCACGAGCUCCUUGGUUGUUGCAAUGAUGAGGAACCCCAAUCUUAUGAGACAAUCUCCCUAUUCGCUAGACUCGGUUUACGUCUUGAUUGACAUGGAAAUAUUUUGAAAGUGAUGAAUCUGUCUACCCAAUUUUGUACGUAUAGUUAUGUGGAACUAAAAAUUAUCGUCGGACUAUCUUCGACUGUUCGACAACAAUAUGGACUACAGGAGGGUGCAAGACCGAGCAGGUUCCAUCUAUUGUGGUAGGACCUUUUUUAGCAGAAAAAAUCAGAGCAGAUAUAUAAGCAUCCACUCAGCUCCCGUAUGAUGUAGCCUUGCAGGUGAUAUCCCGAGUUGUGCACGUCCACAAGUGCCUCCACACAUUAUAGCCUAGAUGUCCGAACACCGUGCUGACCUCCCAACUCACAGCGGCCAUGGCAAUGCUUUUGCCCAGUGUGCGUGUGUGAAGCAUGAGAGAGCUCAGUACGGCACAUGUAAAUCAUGGUCGCUGGUGAGCCAGAUAGCAUGGGACCAUCGGUGUCUCUGAUGUAGCUAGCUCAUAAGCAUUUUAGCCUGAAUUAUGCCCUAUUGUGGCACUAAUUUACAAAAAUAUAUGCAAAGAUUUAACUCAUUAGUUGCUACAUUUAUAUGAAGCUUCUAACAGCAAUUUCAGUUUUUGUUAUAUGUAAUCAAAGAUGUUAAUUGAUUCUAUGUUUGUAGGACCGUAGACAAUCAAAAUGAUGUGCCAUUUUGCUGGAAAACAAGAAAACAAAUAUAUUUUGAUCUUCUCAAAUAAUAUUAUCAGUUAAUCAACUGUCAAAUUUAAUAUAAUCCAUUGUGUACUACAAGUAAUGUUUAAUUUGGACAUAGCUAGCUACCUAGAUUCAACCGCUUGAUAUAAUCCAUUGUGCUGUCUUCCAGUGAACACAUGAGCUUCAUAUUCAGACUUUGAAAUAUUUUAUCGCUGGUAAGUUUUGUUAAAUGAUAUUGAUUAUAGCUUUUAUUGUUGUUGCAAGGUUUUUUCCUUGUUAGCAUGCUUUCUUUUUUAAGUAAUACAGCCAUGAUAGAAAUGGCAGAAGAGGGGUUUCAGCUUGAUGCUUAGCUUUUAUGAGUUCAUGACAACAAGAUGCAUGACUCUGUCCUUCGUAUCAUAAUUGCAAUAUGUAGGAACCAAAGUGGCUCUUUUGACUUCGGAUGAGAGUUUUGAUGACUUGAGCCUUUACGAGAACUUAUGACAUAAAUGACCAGGUCCUUUCAACAAAUUAUUAUAUCUUGGGCAUCUUACAAGUACCAAGCAAUCCAUAUCUCUCAUGAU
This is a long non-coding RNA of Lolium rigidum, 1835 nucleotides long. RefSeq lists it as uncharacterized. The record is from RefSeq and is a predicted model, not a curated record. The transcript has 4 exons. NCBI's taxonomy places the organism in Eukaryota, Viridiplantae, Streptophyta, Magnoliopsida, Poales, Poaceae.